GUUAUCCGGAUUUAUUGGGUUUAAAGGGUGCGUAGGUGGUUUGAUAAGUCAGCGGUGAAAGUUUGCAGCUUAACUGUAAAAAUGCCGUUGAAACUGUCGGACUUGAGUGUAAAUGAGGUAGGCGGAAUGCGUGGUGUAGCGGUGAAAUGCAUAGAUAUCACGCAGAACUCCGAUUGCGAAGGCAGCUUACUAAGCUACAACUGACACUGAAGCACGAAAGCGUGGGGAUCAAACAGGAUUAGAUACCCUGGUAUGCCACGCAGUAAACGAUGAUUACUAGCUGUUUGCGAUACACAGUAAGCGGCACAGCGAAAGCGUUG
This 320-nucleotide ribosomal RNA is filed under the name uncultured bacterium. RNAcentral's name for it is "bacterial SSU rRNA". It matches the Rfam family "Bacterial small subunit ribosomal RNA", at positions 540 to 862 of the family's 1533-position model. The record is from RNAcentral.